RNAcentral lists this ribosomal RNA (423 nucleotides) under uncultured bacterium. RNAcentral describes it as "bacterial SSU rRNA". It matches the Rfam family "Bacterial small subunit ribosomal RNA", at positions 506 to 927 of the family's 1533-position model. The record is from RNAcentral.
AGCCAGCAGCCGCGGUAAUACGUAGGGGGCGAGCGUUGUCCGAAGUUACUGGGCGUAAAGCGCGCGUAGGCGGCUUUUUAAGUGGCCGGUGAAAUCCCCGGGCUCAACCCGGGAGGGUCUGGUCAUACUGGAAAGCUAGAGUGUGGGAGAGGUGAGUGGAACUCCUGGUGUAGCGGUGAUAUGCGUAGAGAUCAGGAAGAACACCCGUGGCGAAGGCGACUCACUGGACCAUAACUGACGCUGAGGUGCGAAAGCCAGGGGAGCGAACGGGAUUAGAUACCCCGGUAGUCCUGGCCCUAAACGAUGGAUACUAGGUGUGGGAGGUAUCGACCCCUUCCGCGCCGCAGCUAACGCAUUAAGUAUCCCGCCUGGGGAGUACGGCCGCAAGGUUGAAACUCAAAGGAAUUGACGGGGGCCCGCACA